ACAACUCUUUAUGAACAAUGAAAACUUUUUCAUAUUUUACUUGUGUCUGCAUCUAUCAGAGCUCUGAAUCCAACUUAACUUUCCUUUUCUUAACUCAUUCUUACACAGUUUAUUGUUUUCUAAAGUGUUGCAGAUAACACCUUGUUUGGACCAUAAAAUACUAAUACUUAAGAGGAGGAACAUUAAUAUAUAGCUGUUCAAAUUUUAUGUCUAGAUUUGAUAUCCUGAGAAAAAUGUACAACUUUAAUUAAAAAUGUAUGAAAUUUCACAUUAAAGGAAAUCAUGAGAGACCUGAUAGCUAAGUCUAAUACUCCAUCAUAUGCUGGAUCCCGUUAGAGUGACUAACUGUUCUGUUUAAUCUUGAACUGACAAGCUUCCUGGGACAUGGGACUUUCAGGGCUAAAACACGGACAGUCAGACUACACAUACUGGUUCGGGAACACACACACACACACACACACACACACACACACACGCGAAAGAGGAAGGGAGAGAGAAUGAAUAAAUUAUAAAGCAAAUGGCAAGUUAUGACAAAUAAGUGAAUUGGUAAAGUGUAUAAGGCUCUUCCUUGAACUAAUUUGUGCAGCUUUUUGGGAGUUUGAAAUUAAUUUCAAAUUUUUAAAAGUUAGGUAAACAAAAACUAUGUAGAUAAAAAAUUGUUGAAGUAAGUACGAGAUUCUAUUUUGUCUGGCACCUAGAGUUGCUACCCAGACUUGCUCAUGUCCUUUCUUGUUGCAGUCACACCACACUUCCUCUCUGUCCUUUCCCCAUAACACAUUCUUCAGCCUUCAUUUCGUUCCAGAGAGAGUCUGUGCACUCUCAUCCUAGUGAAAAUUGCACAUAUUGACCAGGCUGAUUGAAAUACCCUUUCUAAUCCUUUUACUGUGUCUCCCAUUAUCUAGUUAAUUUUGAUUAAUAUUUAGAUCAGUUAACUUUUUUGCUUUCUUUAGAGCCUGUGAGAAACAAUACUCCCAGAUUAAGUCGAAUCUUCCUAUUACCAUCUUUGUAUGUGUCAUGUAACCCUUACAACAUUGUUAACAUUUAUUUUUUGUGAUUACUUGAUGGAUGUCUGCCUUGUCCACUAGACCUGAUGAUUUUAAGUGUCAGAAAUAUGCCAGUAUCCGUUCACCAUUUUACCCUCUCUGUCCAGAACCGCAUCAGACACAUGGAAAGGAUUCCACAAAUAACUUGUUAAGUGAAUGAAUUCUGAUUCACCUGGCUCAAAAUUUCUUAAGAAAUAAUCAUGCCAUGCUUUUGCUCAGGGAGUGUGACCACAGUAUCUGGGAAUACUGCUAAAGAAGCAAGAACGCAAGUGAAGAUUGAAUUUGCAGAUUAGGGAUACGCUUUUUAUAAACAGUAGAUGAAAAAAGAAUGUAUAGUCAGGUAAUGGAGACACCAUUGAAAUAGAAGAGAUUUCAACAUGCUUCAAUAUACUUUUCUAGAAAGAUGUAGCUGUAGAUAAGAAAUAUGAGGUCAAGGGAAAUUUAUUUCUCAUCUCACAUGGAGAACACUAAGAAGUGUUACAGGAAAGCGAAAAUAAACAUACGAUCCAACAGA
Molecule: long non-coding RNA, 1557 nt
Organism: Mandrillus leucophaeus (drill)
Lineage: Eukaryota; Metazoa; Chordata; Mammalia; Primates; Cercopithecidae
Exons: 2
Source: RefSeq, a predicted model, not a curated record